UGGUGGAGCAUGUGGUUUAAUUCGAUGAUACGCGAGGAACCUUACCAAGACUUAAAUGGGAAAUGACAGGUUUAGAAAUAGACCCUUCUUCGGACAUUUUUCAAGGUGCUGCAUGGUUGUCGUCAGCUCGUGCCGUGAGGUGUUAGGUUAAGUCCUGCAACGAGCGCAACCCCUGUCACUAGUUGCUAACAUUCAGUUGAGGACUCUAGUGAGACUGCCUACGCAAGUAGAGAGGAAGGUGGGGAUGACGUCAAAUCAUCACGGCCCUUACGUCUUGGGCCACACACGUAAUACAAUGGCCGGUACAGAGGGCAGCUACACAGCGAUGUGAUGCAAAUCUCGAAAGCCGGUCUCAGUUCGGAUUGGAGUCUGCAACUNCGACUCUANGAAGCNNGAAUCGC
This 401-nucleotide ribosomal RNA is filed under the name Chryseobacterium sp. AZTITEMP84. RNAcentral's name for it is "bacterial SSU rRNA". It matches the Rfam family "Bacterial small subunit ribosomal RNA", at positions 930 to 1335 of the family's 1533-position model. Lineage: Bacteria; Pseudomonadati; Bacteroidota; Flavobacteriia; Flavobacteriales; Weeksellaceae. The record is from RNAcentral.